Long non-coding RNA from Oncorhynchus tshawytscha (Chinook salmon), 350 nucleotides. Lineage: Eukaryota; Metazoa; Chordata; Actinopteri; Salmoniformes; Salmonidae. The record is from Ensembl.
GUGUUCAGGUUGGAAGACAGUACAGAUAUAAACUGGUAUCAACAGUGUUCAGGUCGGUGUUCAGGUUGGAAGACAGAACAGAUAUAAACUGGUUUAAACAGUGUUCAGGUUGGAAGAUUAUUGGGUAGUUUGGUUCAUCAGGCUGACCCACCGUCUUCAUGGAGGAGAUUACUGAGUAGUUUGGUUCAUCAGGCUGACCCACAGUCUUCAUGGAGGAGAUUACUGAGUAGUUGGCCCCCGCGAUAUGUAACUGUUCAGGGAAGUUUGGAACCAAUAUACACAGGCAGUUAGGAAAGCAAAGGCUAGCUUUUUCAACCAGAAUUGUGCAUCCUGUAGCAUAAACUCCAAAA